This 274-nucleotide ribosomal RNA is filed under the name uncultured bacterium. RNAcentral's name for it is "partial 16S ribosomal RNA". It matches the Rfam family "Bacterial small subunit ribosomal RNA", at positions 523 to 796 of the family's 1533-position model. The record is from RNAcentral.
CUACGGAGGGGGCAAGCGUUGUUCGGAAUUACUGGGCGUAAAGCGUACGUAGGCGGAUCGUUAAGUUAGAGGUGAAAUCCCAGGGCUCAACCCUGGAACUGCCUUUAAUACUGGCGAUCUAGAGAUCGAGAGAGGUGAGUGGAAUUUCCAGUGUAGAGGUGAAAUUCGUAGAUAUUAGAAAGAACACCAGUGGCGAAGGCGGCUCACUGGCUCGAUACUGACGCUCAGGUACGAAAGCGUGGGGAGCAAACAGGAUUAGAAACCCCAGUAGUCC